UCUCUGGUAGUAUAUUGGUUAGUACACGCGCCUGUCAUGGUGUUGAGAAAUUCGAUACGCGCGAAAGCUGGGUUCGACUCCCAGCCAGAGAG
Molecule: non-coding RNA, 92 nt
Organism: Armillaria borealis
Lineage: Eukaryota; Fungi; Basidiomycota; Agaricomycetes; Agaricales; Physalacriaceae
Source: the annotation of a GenBank genome assembly